Molecule: long non-coding RNA, 3267 nt
Filed under: Bos indicus x Bos taurus (hybrid cattle)
Lineage: Eukaryota; Metazoa; Chordata; Mammalia; Artiodactyla; Bovidae
Description: lncRNA (ENSBIXG00005011359.1)
Source: RNAcentral
CUAGAGUUCAAUCAAGGAAAGGAUUUUUGUCAGAAGCCAGGGCCACGUCUUCAUUCUGGGCUGCCAGUUCAACCUACUUAUGAUGUUUAGGGCUUUGCUAAAUCUCCUGCGGCAUCAGCUCCCCAGAGGAAGCUGAAGAAACCACCCUGUGAUGGCAUCUCCAAGGGCGAGGGCACAUUAUCCCCAGACUCUAAUGAACCGAGCAGCCCUGUCACCGCCAGACCCACAUCACGCAGUGACCGUGAGGGCUGCUGACUCUGCACUAUGGCUUCCUGGUGCUGACGUGCCUUCUUCUGGCAGAAGAUCCACCUUCUCAUUGCCCAGUGGUGCCCAGAGCCUCCUCAGACAAUCAGCAGUGGGAGAGGGGAGGCCCAGAAGCCAGGGCUCCCCAUCCCCAUCUCACCCAGCUCAGCAAGUCAUCUGGCACCCACUUCAAGUCAACAGCCACUUAUCGGAGCAGGUGCUGUGCACAGUACCAUGCUGAGAGCUUCCCACAGCCCCUCUCCUGGGACCCUCACUAGCGCUCCGUGAAGGAGGGUUCAUCAGCCCUCCUUCCAAGUGGAAAAACUAGGGACGUGCCCCAAGGUCACCUACCUGACCCUAAGACACCCUGAAGGGGAUGCACACACAUCCUCCCACUGCCCCCGUCUACAGAGAUGUGGUUUUCUGUAACCUCCAGGUACAGUCUCCCUUCUUCUAUAAUUAGCUAUUGUUUACCUGGAAUCAUUCCAUAGAUCCCACUGAGUAAAUGGCAGAGAUCAGAGUUGCCUCCUGGAACCCAAGGGCAGGACCACACAGUUGGCAGACCUCACAGCCCUGCUCCCAGGAGGUCCUUGUUUAACCACAGUCACCAGGGUGCUGGGUCUACAGGAGGCCUGCCCCGCUUUGAACUUUUCAGCAAUCACAAGAGGACGUGUUAUCAAAACCGGUUUGUGGAGGUUGAAAGGCUUUGGAUGAAGAUCUCAGUGGUGGGACGGCUGGACUCAGGCAAAAACGCAAGGCCAUGAACUGUCUGGGUGAAACAUGAUGACUGUCAUGAAAUUUUAACUAAACCCUUACUGGCAUGAAUAAUUGAGCACGAGAGUCAGGGUGGCUGACUUCCUCGGUCCUGCUCGCGAAGGAGAGCUGGGGCAGCCUCGGCUUCGGGAGCAGGCCCUGGGGGAUCUGCUGACGCCCCAGGUACAAAGGGGGCCCGGUGGGACUUCACCCUCAUGGGCCCCAGGAGCUUCCCCCUUAUCCCUCCCCUCAGGGAAGUCAUUUCUCCCCACUUCCUGUUCUGUUUGACCUGGCUGGAAGUGGCAGGGGAGAGGAGUAGAUAGGAGAAGAGCCAGAAAAGCAAGAGGGCUUGAGGGCUGCGGGCUGGGUGGCAGUUGAACCUCAGGUAUAAAUCGUGAUUCUCCAGCUUGCUGGAUGUGCCAUCUUUCUUUAUUUAUUCUUAAUUGAAGGAUAAUGGCUUUACAAAACUGUGUUGGUUUCUGCCACACGUCAACAUGAAUCAGCCAUAGGCAUACACACAUCCCCUACCUCUUGAACCUCCCUCCCACCUCCCACCUCAUCCCAACCCCUCCAGGCAGUCAGAGAGCACCGAUCUGAGCUCCGAGUCACACAGCAAGUUCCCCCUGGCCGCCCACUGUACAUAUGGCAGCGUAUAUGCGACUCUGUGUACAUGCUACUCUCUCCAUUCACCCCACCCUCUCCCUUCUCCGUGUCUGCAUCUCCACUGCAUGCGUGAGUGCGUGCUAAGUCCCUUCAGUCCUGUCUGACACUCUGCGACCCUAUGGAGCAUAGCCCUCCAGGCUCCUCUGUGCGUGGGAUUCUCCAGGCAAGAAUACUGGAGUGGGUUGCCAUGUCCUCCUCCAGGGGAUCUUCCUGACCCAGAGCUAGAACCCAUAUCUCCUGCAUCUCCUGCAUUAGCAGGCAGAUUCUUUACCCACUGAGUCACCUGGGAAGCCCCCAUCUCCAUCGCCACCCUGCAGAUAGGUUCCUCAGCACUUCCAGACUCCACAUAUAUGUGGUAUUCGUUUUUUUUUCUUUCCCUCUGACCCACCCCACCCUGUAUAAUAGGCUCUAGGUUCAUCUAACUCAUUAGAACUGACUCAAAUACAUUCCCUUUUAAUGGCUGAGUAAUACCCCACCACCCACGUGCACCACAGCCUCUCCAUCCACUCAUCUGUUGAUGGACAGCCAGGCUGGCUCCAUGUCCUAGCCACUGUAAACAGUGCUGCAAUGAGUAUUGAGGUCACUCUACCAUCUUCAGCAACUCACUGUACCUCUUUGAGCUUCAGUUUCCUUAUCUGAAAACUGAGGACUAUAAUUCCCACCAUUUUAUAAAUGCUGAUUAUUUUCUCCUAGCCUAUCCCCCACUGCUCAGCCCAUAGCCCUGAUAAGUUCCUCUCCCCCUUCCACCACCCCAGCAACCCUCAGCUUACAAACAGUAUUGAGAUGAACAGGGGGUCCACACUGGCCCAGCUAUCAAAUUUCCCCUCCUGGGAAUCUCAGUUUGGAACAUAGAGUCAGAGUCACCAAGCUCUGGUAGCAAGCUGGAAGUGCAAGGAGCUCAGGGCAGAUAGAAGCUACCAUUUUGGUGUGGUCACAGUGGCUCAGGGUGAGCAGAGAUACCCCCCACCCACACACCCAUGCUCAUGAAUGAGUACAAUUGAAAACUGGAGAAAUCUGAGCAAGAUGGGUGGGUUGCAUCAAUGUCAGUCUCCUGAUUAUGAUAUUGUCUUGCAGCUUUACAAGAUGUUACUAUUAGGGAGAAAUGGAUAAAGGGCACACAAGAUCUGUCUCAUUCCUUUCUUUUUUUAAACUAAACUAAAUGUCACUUCCUCCACAGGUUGAGAAGUGCUUUCCUGGCUGGGGGCUGUGGUAGAAUCCGUCAGGCCUAAAUGAUGUGGGCAGGGCUCCCAUUAGAUCCAGUGGAAGAAGGGGCUUAUCUGGGUGCCAUCCGUUGCCAAGUGGGGCUAAUAGAGAAACUGGGCCUGGGUCUCCUUCUUCUGUAGGGCAGGGGAGAGGCGUCUAAGACAUCAUGCUACCAUGUUCCUCCAGUCCUGGGGUUCCUAACCCAUCUGCCUUCCUCUGUCCACUUUUCAUAGUGCUCUUUGGUUCUCUUGUUAUUUCCAACAAUGAUAGUUACACCCUAGGGAGGAACAGGAAAAGAUCACUGUAUAAUUUCCUAUAACUUCAUAGGGCUCUUCAAUUAUCCCCACCCCCUAAAAGGUUAAUUUUUAAAAUAAAAUAAAUAUUUGCCAGAAAAAAUAAAUAAGG